UACGGGGGGGGCAAGCGUUGUUCGGAAUUACUGGGCGUAAAGGGCUCGUAGGUGGCCAACUAAGUCAGACGUGAAAUCCCUCGGCUUAACCGGGGAACUGCGUCUGAUACUGGAUGGCUAGAGAUUGGGAGAGGGAUGCGGAAUUCCAGGUGUAGCGGUGAAAUGCGUAGAUAUCUGGGGGAACACCGGUGGCGAAGGCGGCAUCCUGGACCGGCAUUGACGCUGAGGCGCGAAAGCUAGGGGAGCAAACGGG
RNAcentral lists this ribosomal RNA (253 nucleotides) under uncultured bacterium. RNAcentral describes it as "partial 16S ribosomal RNA". It matches the Rfam family "Bacterial small subunit ribosomal RNA", at positions 524 to 776 of the family's 1533-position model. The record is from RNAcentral.